CUGAUCCAUAAGUGUUGC
This 18-nucleotide non-coding RNA is filed under the name Mus musculus (house mouse). Lineage: Eukaryota; Metazoa; Chordata; Mammalia; Rodentia; Muridae. The record is from RNAcentral.